Molecule: ribosomal RNA, 254 nt
Filed under: uncultured bacterium
Lineage: Bacteria
Description: partial 16S ribosomal RNA
Rfam family: Bacterial small subunit ribosomal RNA
Source: RNAcentral
UACGGAGGCCCCGAGCGUUUGUUCGGAUUUAUUGGGCGUAAAGAGCUCGUAGGCGGUUUGUCGCGUCUGCUGUGAAAACUCGGGGCUUAACUCCGGGCUUGCAGUGGGUACGGGCAGACUAGAGUGCGGUAGGGGAGACUGGAAUUCCUGGUGUAGCGGUGAAAUGCGCAGAUAUCAGGAGGAACACCGGUGGCGAAGGCGGGUCUCUGGGCCGUAACUGACGCUGAGGAGCGAAAGCGUGGGGAGCGAACAGG